Molecule: ribosomal RNA, 497 nt
Filed under: uncultured bacterium
Lineage: Bacteria
Description: partial 16S ribosomal RNA
Rfam family: Bacterial small subunit ribosomal RNA
Source: RNAcentral
GAUGAACGCUGGCGGCGUGCCUAAUACAUGCAAGUCGAGCGAACAGACGAGGAGCUUGCUCCUCUGACGUUAGCGGCGGACGGGUGAGUAACACGUGGAUAACCUAACUAUAAGACUGGGAUAACUUCGGUAAACCGGAGCUAAUACCGGAUAAUAUAUUGAACCGCAUGGUUCAAUAGUGAAAGACGGUUUUGCUGUCGCUUAUAGAUGGAUCCGCGCCGCAUUAGCUAGUUGGUAAGGUAACGGCUUACCAAGGCAACGAUGCGUAGCCGACCUGAGAGGGUGAUCGGCCACCCUGGCACUGAGACACAGUCCAGACUCCUACGGUAGGACGCAGUAGGGAAUCUUACGGAAGGGGGGAGAGCCUGACGGAGGACAGCCGCGUAAGUGCUGAAGGUCCUAGGCCCGGAGAACUAUGUAAGUAGGGAAGAAGAAAUGUGUAAGUACCCAGGAUCGUAUUGACGGUACCUAAACAGAAAGCCACGGCUAACUACGUG